RNAcentral lists this unclassified non-coding RNA (472 nucleotides) under Hevea brasiliensis (rubber tree). The record is from RNAcentral. Lineage: Eukaryota; Viridiplantae; Streptophyta; Magnoliopsida; Malpighiales; Euphorbiaceae.
GUCAUGACGUUUAUUUAAUUACCGGAGGUCAAUUUUGGUAUUUCCAUGCACAGUACACCUGCGGGGCCAAGGCAACGUUUCGUAGUGGAUGCGAAUCAUCCUUCUUUGCUCGCUCUCUACACGCAUCAAAACCGCCUUUUCAAGCCUUCCUCUCUCCCUCUCUUCCUUCUCUCUCAUAUGGUUUCUUCUCUUAGGGUUAGGGUUUCUUAGUUGCGUCUACUUUGAAAUUUCAAAAGACAAAUGCUGCGGAUAAUUUCUUAUUUUCCUUUCAAAUUUAUUUAUAUUUCCUUCGAAGAACAUUCUAGGUCAAGCAUGGCUUGAUUCCGCUCUUCUGUGGUUUAUCUGUUUGCUCCACAGGGUGGCAGUUCCGGAAUGGAAAUGUAUAGUGUUUCUGGACAUGGAAAUGCAGAAAACUAUUUGAUUCAAGGUACUGAGAUAAACCCUAUUCUGACAAGUCCACUUCUUGAACAAG